RNAcentral lists this ribosomal RNA (253 nucleotides) under uncultured bacterium. RNAcentral describes it as "partial 16S ribosomal RNA". It matches the Rfam family "Bacterial small subunit ribosomal RNA", at positions 524 to 776 of the family's 1533-position model. The record is from RNAcentral.
UACGUAGGGUGCGAGCGUUGUCCGGAAUUACUGGGCGUAAAGAGCUCGUAGGUGGUUUGUCGCGUUGUUCGUGAAAACCGGGGGCUUAACCCUCGGCGUGCGGGCGAUACGGGCAGACUGGAGUACUGCAGGGGAGACUGGAAUUCCUGGUGUAGCGGUGGAAUGCGCAGAUAUCAGGAGGAACACCGGUGGCGAAGGCGGGUCUCUGGGCAGUAACUGACGCUGAGGAGCGAAAGCGUGGGGAGCAAACAGG